AGAGGAAGCCGGUGCGAAUCCGGCGCGGUCCCGCCACUGUCACCGGGGAGCGCUCCCCCACACGGAAGUCACGGCCCGUACGGACGGGUUGGAAGGCCGGGGGAAGCGUAGAUCCGGGAGCCAGGAGACUC
This 131-nucleotide non-coding RNA is filed under the name Streptomyces sp. Lineage: Bacteria; Bacillati; Actinomycetota; Actinomycetes; Kitasatosporales; Streptomycetaceae. The record is from RNAcentral.